RNAcentral lists this microRNA precursor (205 nucleotides) under Oryza rufipogon (brownbeard rice). RNAcentral's name for it is "MIR812 microRNA precursor family". It matches the Rfam family "MIR812 microRNA precursor family". Lineage: Eukaryota; Viridiplantae; Streptophyta; Magnoliopsida; Poales; Poaceae. The record is from Rfam by way of RNAcentral.
AAAAAGGUAAACCGUGGGUUCCGUGUCAACGUUUGACUAUCCGUCUUAUAUGAAAUUUUUUUUAUAGUUAGUAUUAUCAUUGUUGUUAGAUGAUAAAACAUGAUUAAUACUUUAUACGUGACUUGUCUUUUUAAACUUUUUCAUAUUUUUUUUAAAUAAGACGGACGGUCAAAUGUUGGACACGGAAACCAGGGUUUGUCUUUUU